This 440-nucleotide ribosomal RNA is filed under the name uncultured bacterium. RNAcentral's name for it is "partial 16S ribosomal RNA". It matches the Rfam family "Bacterial small subunit ribosomal RNA", at positions 338 to 795 of the family's 1533-position model. The record is from RNAcentral.
CCUACGGGUGGCAGCAGUGGGGAAUAUUGCACAAUGGGGGAAACCCUGAUGCAGCGACGCCGCGUGAGUGAAGAAGUAUUUAGGUACGUAAAGCUCCAUCAGCAGGGAAGAAAAUGAAGGUACCUGACCAAGAAGCCCCGGCCAACUACGGGCCAGCAGCCGCGGUAAGAUGCAGGGGGCCAGCGUUAUCCGGAUUUACUGGGUGUAAAGGGGGCGUAGACGGCAGCGCAAGUCUGGAGUGAAAUCCCAUGGCUUAACCAUGGAACUGCGUUGGAAACUGUGCAGCUAGAGUGCAGGAGAGGUAAGCGGAAUUCCUAGUGUAGCGGUGAAAUGCGUAGAUAUUAGGAGGAACACCAGUGGCGAAGGCGGCUUACUGGACUGUAACUGACGUUGAGGCUCGAAAGCGUGGGUAGCAAACAGGAUUAGAUACCCGAGUAGUC